UAGGACUCCUCCUUGGUAGCCGAGUACUCCCGGUCAAAACAUUUCUUAGGCCUAGUAAAAGAGGGGAAAGCUAUGGCUAAGCUAUGAUAACGCGCACCUAUUCUCGUUAAUGGCGCAUAGAAUUGUUAAGGAACUUGUGAUUUUAGCACUCUCAAUUCCAGUAAAUUAAGUAGCAAUCGAUCGUAAUCACAUCUGUAGUAAGCCAGUACUAUAAAGUGAGAUACUUGGUCUUUUUGGUCUUCUUUGAAGGAGAAUUAUCCGAUUUAUUUAGAAAGCACUCUUGGUUCAUGUUUCUUCUAUUUAAAAUUUGACUUUAUUGAGAAGGGUUAUUGAUGGCCUAAUGACUGCUUUUUUUCUUUAAUAUUGAAGAGUUUGAUCAGAUAUGGUGCGCAUUGCAAAUCACUUUUUUAAGGUCAGCGAUUUGCCAGCGGGCCUUUUACCGUCAACUUCAGGCAUACCCAUUCAAAUUUUUGGAACAGUUAUUGAUUCAAUUUUUAUUGACGUCCUUUUCCUCCAAAGUUCCGGCUUUGAAAAACAAUAACUAGCCUUACAAAAAUUUUGGUGCUGACAAGAUGAACUCUUACAGUACCCUUCUGAAUUGCUUCAGACCUUACGAGAGUGGUUAUCAUCCGCACACCUCGGGAAGCCUACUACCGGGUAAUAAUUAUGGCUACACCAUGGUUUCAGGGAAACCGGCUAGUGCUGCGGGAAAGAGAAAAAAUUUAAAAUGUUCUUAAGCGGCUGGAGCAUUUUUGAGAUGAAUGUUUAGAAGGCUGCCUUCUACUAUUCUCAAACGUCAGUUCUUCGAGAAAAGGGUACUAAUGUGCAUUCCCUCCCCGGUCUGUUUCUGAGUGUGCCUGUGUUCAAUUCGGAGAGACCUGGAAUUACCAUUUCUUCCUGAAGAUUUAAAGAUCAACUAUUUAGAAAUACCGCAAACCCUUAAUUAACA
This is a long non-coding RNA of Zophobas morio, 949 nucleotides long. RefSeq lists it as uncharacterized. The transcript has 8 exons. The record is from RefSeq and is a predicted model, not a curated record. NCBI's taxonomy places the organism in Eukaryota, Metazoa, Arthropoda, Insecta, Coleoptera, Tenebrionidae.